CGUAGGGUGCAAGCGUUAAUCGGAAUUACUGGGCGUAAAGCGUGCGCAGGCGGUUUUGUAAGUCUGAUGUGAAUCCCCGGGCUCAACCUGGGAAUUGCAUUGGAGACUGCAAGGCUAGAAUCUGGCAGAGGGGGGUAGAAUUCCACGUGUAGCAGUGAAAUGCGUAGAUAUGUGGAGGAACACCGAUGGCGAAGGCAGCCCCCUGGGUCAAGAUUGACGCUCAUGCACGAAAGCGUGGGGAGCAAACAGGAUUAGAUACCCUGGUAGUCCACGCCCUAAACGAUGUCUACUAGUUGUCGGGUCUUAAUUGACUUGGUAACGCAGCUAACGCGUGAAGUAGACCGCCUGGGGAGUACGGUCGCAAGGAUUA
Molecule: ribosomal RNA, 370 nt
Filed under: uncultured organism
Description: bacterial SSU rRNA
Rfam family: Bacterial small subunit ribosomal RNA
Source: RNAcentral